Populus trichocarpa (black cottonwood) is the source of this 143-nucleotide non-coding RNA. Lineage: Eukaryota; Viridiplantae; Streptophyta; Magnoliopsida; Malpighiales; Salicaceae. The record is from Rfam.
UCUAGAGCUCGAGAUAUGAGCUGAACACUAAAAAAAUCAGUGCAUCUUGACAGAUUUUUGUUACUAAGAUUUGGACUUCCAAACAACAGAAUUGAGUCUUACAUUCCCAUAAAUGUUUUAGGCCCAUGUCUUAGCUUUCUAGC